UGUUAGAAAAAUCAUCAAAUUCUAUUGUUAAAACCUGGCGUGGCUUGACAGAAGAACCAGAUAGAUGCACCAAGUGUACCUCAUGUUGGCAUGUAAAGAUCAAUUUUUAACAAUAGAAAUGAAUGUAAUUUUUAACA
Gossypium raimondii (Peruvian cotton) is the source of this 137-nucleotide non-coding RNA. Lineage: Eukaryota; Viridiplantae; Streptophyta; Magnoliopsida; Malvales; Malvaceae. The record is from Rfam.